CUCAAUCGGGGAAUUGCUCGGCGAACUAUACUUCUUGGGGCAAAUAGGGGUGCGUGGAACUCUUGGUGGAGCGGUGGAAUGCGUAGAUAUCAAGAGGAACGCCUGUGGCGAAAGCGACGCACUGGAUUUGUCCUGACGCUCAAGCACGAAAGCGUGGGUAGCGAACGGGAUUAGAUACCCCGGUAGUCCACGCUGUAAACGAUGUCUACUAGAUUGCGGGUGUUCUGACACAUUCGCGAUCGAAGCAAAAGUGUUAAGUAGACCGCCUGGGAAGUACGGUCGCAAGGCUAAAACUCAAAGGAAUUGACGGGGGCUCACACAAGCGGUGGAGCAUGUGGAUUAAUUCGAAGCAACGCGAAGAACCUUACCUGGGUUUGACAUGCUUGGAUGCCGUCCUGGAAACAGGAUUGGUUGCCCUUCGGGGUGAAACU
Molecule: ribosomal RNA, 431 nt
Filed under: uncultured bacterium
Lineage: Bacteria
Description: partial 16S ribosomal RNA
Rfam family: Bacterial small subunit ribosomal RNA
Source: RNAcentral